UUUAUGGAGAGUUUGAUCCUGGCUCAGGAUGAACGCUGGCGGCGUGCCUAAUACAUGCAAGUUGAGCGAACAGACGGGGAGCUUGCUCCCCCGACGUUAGCGGCGGACGGGUGAGUAACACGGGGGUAACCCACCUCUAAGACUGGGAUAACUCCGGGAAACCGGGGCUAAUGCCGGAUUACAGGUUGGAGCACAUGGUCCUACAUGCACAGACGAUCCUACUGUCAGUUUAUGAUGAA
Molecule: ribosomal RNA, 239 nt
Filed under: Staphylococcus pettenkoferi
Lineage: Bacteria; Bacillati; Bacillota; Bacilli; Caryophanales; Staphylococcaceae
Description: partial 16S ribosomal RNA
Rfam family: Bacterial small subunit ribosomal RNA
Source: RNAcentral